ACGGGUGAGUAACACGUGGGCAACCUGCCCUUGAGACUGGGAUAACUUCGGGAAACCGGAGCUAAUACCGGAUAAUAUAAGGAACCUCCUGGUUCCUUGUUGAAAGAUGGUUUCGGCUAUCACUUAAGGAUGGGCCCGCGGCGCAUUAGCUAGUUGGUGAGGUAACGGCUCACCAAGGCGACGAUGCGUAGCCGACCUGAGAGGGUGAUCGGCCACACUGGGACUGAGACACGGCCCAGACUCCUACGGGAGGCAGCAGUAGGGAAUCAUCCACAAUGGACGAAAGUCUGAUGGAGCAACGCCGCGUGAGUGAUGAAGGCCUUCGGGUCGUAAAGCUCUGUUGUUAGGGAAGAACAAGUGCGAGAGUAACUGCUCGCACCUUGACGGUACCUAACCAGAAAGCCACGGCUAACUACGUGCCAGCAGCCGCGGUAAUACGUAGGUGGCAAGCGUUAUCCGGAAUUAUUGGGCGUAAAGCGCGCGCAGGUGGUUUCUUAAGUCUGAUGUGAAAGCCCACGGCUCAACCGUGGAGGGUCAUUGGAAACUGGGGAACUUGAGUGCAGAAGAGGAAAGUGGAAUUCC
This 582-nucleotide ribosomal RNA is filed under the name uncultured bacterium. Its description in RNAcentral is "bacterial SSU rRNA". It matches the Rfam family "Bacterial small subunit ribosomal RNA", at positions 102 to 670 of the family's 1533-position model. The record is from RNAcentral.